Molecule: ribosomal RNA, 252 nt
Filed under: uncultured bacterium
Lineage: Bacteria
Description: partial 16S ribosomal RNA
Rfam family: Bacterial small subunit ribosomal RNA
Source: RNAcentral
UACGGAGGGUGCAAGCGUUAUCCGGAUUCACUGGGUUUAAAGGGUGCGUAGGUGGGUUGGUAAGUCAGUGGUGAAAUCUCCGGGCUUAACUCGGAAACUGCCGUUGAUACUAUCAAUCUUGAAUAUCGCGUAGGUAAGCGGAAUAUGUCAUGUAGCGGUGAAAUGCUUAGAUAUGACGUAGAACACCAAUGCGAAGGCAGCUUACUUCACGAUCAUUGACACUGAGGCACGAAAGCGUGGGGAGCAAACAGG